This 301-nucleotide ribosomal RNA is filed under the name uncultured bacterium. RNAcentral's name for it is "partial 16S ribosomal RNA". It matches the Rfam family "Bacterial small subunit ribosomal RNA", at positions 509 to 808 of the family's 1533-position model. The record is from RNAcentral.
CAGCGCCGCGGUAAUACGUAGGGUGCGAGCGUUAAUCGGAAUUACUGGGCGUAAAGCGUGCGCAGGCGGUUAUAUAAGACAGAUGUGAAAUCCCCGGGCUCAACCUGGGACCUGCAUUUGUGACUGUAUAGCUAGAGUACGGUAGAGGGGGAUGGAAUUCCGCGUGUAGCAGUGAAAUGCGUAGAUAUGCGGAGGAACACCGAUGGCGAAGGCAAUCCCCUGGACCUGUACUGACGCUCAUGCACGAAAGCGUGGGGAGCAAACAGGAUUAGAUACCCGCGUAGUCCCUGUCUCUUAUACC